GUGAUCAAAAGAUAACUAAUUAAAUAUAUGGGUUGAUUAUGUAAAUCAUCCAUAACUUGUAUAGUGGGCUAAAAGGCUCCAUGGAUUACCAAGUUGGGUUAAACCUAUAGGAUGCUCCAUGGGAGUUACAAACCCAUGGGCCAUGGAAAUGAAGAGUCAUGUCACAUUAGGGUUUACAUGGUGUAACCUUAGAUGUGACACACUAUAUAAGGAACAUGUUAUCUACCAAAAUCGGCUACACACUAAGGAAAAGAGAGGGAAAGCCGAUUUUUAGAGUGUUAUACAUUCUUUCAAAGCCAUUCCAAAGCAUUUGGUGUUGUGUGAAGCAUUUGAGGCAUCACACUUGGGGUGCUAGGCUCUCAAGGUUUUCAAGGAAUCAAAUCAACUACAAGGUAUGUAAUUCUAAACAUCUUUUAGAAUAAAAGUUUCCCAUGUAUGCUAGAUAGGAAUAUGAACCUUGGAUAUCAUAUUUUGCAUGUAUCUUAGAAAAACAUAGAUCCAAGGUUUUCUAGGGUUGCAUGUACACUUAGGGGUGUUAGAGUGCUGAAAACCCUUCAGUGGUAUUAGAGCCUAGGCUUGUUUGUAAAUACUUGAUGCAAAAUAGUGAUAAAAGUCGAUUUUUUGCUGUCUGCACAGGGGACUCGACGAGUCCAUGGGGAGGACUCGACCCAUGGACUCGUCGAGUCCAAGUGAAAAUGCAACCAACUCGGCGAGUCAGUUCGUGCACUCAACGAGUUGGUCAUGCAGAAUGCAGAAAUUUGAUUUUUGCUGCUGGAAAUGGACUAGAAACAUUACCCUAAAUUGUUUUGGUGUUGUAAAACUUGUUUUAGAUGAUGUAGUUGUUGUUCUAAUCCAUUUACAAUGGCUAAUAUCAAAUUUUCAUGAUUAUAUGUGCCCAUAUGUUCUUGAAACUUUGAUAUGAAUAUUCAUGUUCUUAUGAGUUUUGAUAGAUCAUAGGAGUUACUUUUUUAAAUGAUUAAUUCAUGAUCUUUAUGUGUUUUAAUGGAGUCCAUAACUUGUCCUCAAGUUAUGGAUAACCAAAAGUAUCUUUGUGUUAGAACCCAUUAAAAGAACACAUAAGUUAUAAAAUGAAGAGUCUUCAUUUUAAUGACUCAUAAGUUAUGAAUGUGAAAGGUUUUGUAAAGUUACAAAACUUGCCCUCAAGUUUUGGAACAUGUAAAUCACUUAAUAAACUUUAGUUCCAACCCCUAGAUUUUUAAAAGUUAAAAAUCAACCCAUAUACUUUAUANCCUUAUACUUAUAUUAUUAUGAUUUAAUAAUUAUAUAUAUAUGUAUAAGAACAAAGUCGUCUUACCGCUAGUACGCCUCAUUCACGAAGCCGGUCUAUAAGGUGGGUAUAAGGUUGUUGCCUAUAAAAUGGUGACUUAAUGGGUGUCCACUCUCACCCACCGCUUGCUUGAUCGGUGGAGGGUCGUUAGCCGAACGGGUAAGACAAGGACUUAUUAAUUCUCAUUCAAAGUAUGAUGAAUAUUAUAAAGUAACUAAAUGUUUUAUUAAAUUCCCAAUCUUAUGUUACUUUAGAAAAAUGUGAAAAAGGUGCUAAUCCAUGAAAUUACACUUUACACUUUGUUUAAGUCGUUGGUGGAGCGUGUGUGGUUAACCGGUACACUAACUUNGACUUAACAAGGUAGGUAAAGGGUGACUUAGGGUUUAUUAUAGUAUCGAUGGAGCGCGUGUGGUUAACCGGCACAUCGAUUGAGUGAUAAACUUUAAGGGUACCAAGUGAUUUGCAUGGUUACUUCACACCUCGUUUUGUGAUCCUCGGUAUCCCAGUCACAAAACUUGGAGGGCACACUUGAGAUUGAAACAUGCCUUUGAAAAGUUCAUUGAAUCUCAAAAGAAUCUAGGAAUUUCUAAGAAUCAAUUAAAAACCUAAUAUUUAUAUUUCGUUUUUCAUGGUGGAAAUUGGUGAAUUGUCAUUCACCUACCUUUAAAAUAUGUUAUAGCUUAGAUUACGACAUACCUCUUCUAAGUUACAAUAUAUUGUGAUUGGAUCCUAGACUUAAUAUUACAUUUAGGUGUUUUAUUAAGGACUCUCUUAAUAUCUAAACUAAUCUUGUUAUCUUCUUUUCAGAUUUCUUCCAACAACACUGCUUCUGGCUCAAACCCUACUGGCUCCUUUUCCCUCAUGAAUCUAUGUGGGAGGUUCAUCUUCGAUGGUUCCAACUUUAUCGAUUGGAUCUGGAACAUCAGGAUGGUGACUCGUUAUGAGGACAAGGAAUAUGUCCUCGAUAAGGAGCUAAAGGAGAUCGAUGAGUCGACUGCUACUCCGCAAGAGAUCGUUGACUUUUGGACUCAUGAAAGAGAUCCCACCAAAGUGGCAUGCAUCAUGAUGGCCACCAUGACAGCUGAACUCCAGAAGUCCUAUGAGGACUACUACCCUUUUGAGAUGCACCAAGAUAUGAUGGAAAGAUACCAUCAGAGUGCUCGUCAAGAGUGGUAUGAAAUAAUCUGCUCCAUGAUAAUAACCAGGAUGAAGGACGGAGAUUCAAUUACGAGACACAUGCAUAAAAUGCAAAGGUAUGUGGAUCAUUUGCUGAAGCUUAAUGUGGACUUCCCUGAGGAGCUUGCAAUAGAUAUCAUUUUGCACUCCUUACCUUCGUGUUAUGAUCACUUCCGUAUGACAUAUCACAUGAAUAAAAAAGAAGUCACACUUAGCAAACUUCAAGGACUCUUAAAGACCGCAGAAACAUGUCUUAAAGGUAAGUCGGUUAUUAACUCUCCUACUCCUACUCCAAACUCCACCCCUAUCUUGGCAAUCGGGAAAGAUAGAGGGAAGAAGAGGAAGAGAUCUUCUAAGGGUACCAAGGCUAGGAACCUUGAUGGAUCUUCUUCAAGUGGAACCAAGAAAUGUUUCGUCACUUCUUCUUCUGACCCAAAAGAGGCUGAAUGAUUCUAUUGCCAUGAAAAGUCGCACUGGAAGCAGAACUGCCCAAAGUACCAGCAAGAUGUGAAGGAUGGGAAAGUUAAACCUAACCAUGCAGGUAUUUACACUAUUCUAUCUAAUAACUCACCCUAUUCUAACUCUUGGGUCCUUGAUACAGGUUGUGGUAUUCAUAUCUGUUCUGAUUUGCAGGGACUAAGAAGAAGUGAGAAUGUGGAGCAUGGAAAGAUAAACUUGAUCAUGGGGAAUAGGAAAGCUUCACCAGUCACCAAGAUUGGAGUUUAUUCUUUGUUGCUAAGUAGUGGGUUUACUUUAGAUUUGAAUAAAUGUUGUUAUUCUCCAGAAAUGACAAGAAAUAUUAUUUCCUUUCAUGCGUUGUACAAACAAGGGUUUACCUUUUCUUUUGAUAAUGAAAUUGGUGGAAUAAAUGCUUUCUUUAAUAAUGUUCUUUAUUUUAAAGCAUUACCUUGUGAUGGUGUGUAUGAAGCUAUAUCUGUUGUAGAUAAUCUAGGAAAUAAUGUAUUGUGUAUUGAUUCUUCUGAUAAUAAUAACCUGGAUAAAGCAUCGUUAUGGCAUUGUCGUCUUGGACAUGUGAGCAAGAAACGCAUAGGUCAAUUCCAAAAGGAUGGAGUCUUGGAGUCAUUUGACCUGAAGUCAGAUGAUAGUUGUGAAUCAUGCUUACUUGGAAAAAUGACAAAGUCACCCUUCACUGGUUCUUGUGCUAGUGGUGAAGGUUUGUUGGAUCUGGUACACAUGGAUGUGUGUGGACCCUUCAAAUCUGCCACAAGGGAUGCUAAUCGUUAUUAUUUGACUUUUACUGAUGAUUAUAGUAGAUAUGGAUAUGUGUAUUUAAUCAAGCAUGAGUCAGAGACUUUUGAAAGGUUUAAGGAGUUUAAACAGGAAGUCGAGAAUCAAUUGGGCAGGAACAUUAAGAUGCUUCGAUCCGAUCGAGGUGGAGAGUAUCUUAGUACAGAGUUCCUUGACUAUCUUAAGGAAUGUGGGAUUAUCUCACAAUUGACACCUCCCAGGACACCACAGCUUAAUGGUGUGGCUGAGAGGCGCAAUUGAACCUUGUUGGAUAUGGUUUGUUCCAUGAUGAGUCGAACUUCGCUACCAAUCUCAUUUUGGGGGUAUGCCUUAGUGAUUGCCGCCCAUAUCCUUAAUCUGGUCCCUACAAAGAAAGUUGCCAAAACUCCUCAUGAUAUUUGGAAUGGUAAGGUUCCCAAACUAGACCACAUCAAGAUUUGGGGUUGCGAGGCUUUCGUGAGACGCGAGACUCAUGAUAAGCUCGAACCUCGAAGUGAGAGGUGUAUUUUCAUCGGCUACCCACAUAAAUCCUUUGGUUACAUCUUCUACAGACCUAGUGACAAUGUGGUCUUUGUAGCAAGGAGGGGUUUCUUUCGAGAAAGAGAGUUCAUAAGCCAAGGAAACAGUGGGAGCCAAAUUGACCUUGAAGAAAUUGAAGAGUCAAGUGGUGAAGGAACUUCAAAUCCUAGCACUUAACCUGAGGAGGAAACUCCUAUUGAGACAAUUGACAAGUCUGUACCUCUAAGGCGUUCAACAAGGGUUAGGAAUGCACCUGAGCAUUAUUAUGGUUUCCAUAUUACUACGAAAGGUGAGACACUUAUCAGUGAUGAGACAUUGGUAAGUCUGGAUGAACCUAACAGUUACGUGGAAGCCAUGGUAGGCCCCGAGUCUUCCAAAUGGAAAGAGGCAAUGGACAGCGAGAUACAAUCCAUGUAUGAAAAUCAAGUUUGGAACUUCGUUGACAAUGUACCAAGUCGUAAGACAGUUGGGUGCAAAUGGAUCUUCAAGAAGAAGACCGAAAUGGAUGGUAAUGUACACACAUAUAAGGCGUGACUGGUUGCAAAGGGUUUUUCUCAAACUCCGGGAGUUGAUUAUGAUGAGACCUUUUCACCAGUUGCAAAGAUUAAAUCCAUUAGGGUUCUGUUAGCCAUUGCUGCAUUUCAUGAUUAUGAAAUAUGGCAAAUGGAUGUCAAAACCACCUUCCUUAAUGGAAGUUUGGCUGAAGAUGUUUACAUGAGUCAGCCAGAGGGUUUUGUCAGCAUAGAAUACCCUAAUAGAGUGUGUAAGCUCGAGAAAUCCAUUUAUGGAUUGAAACAGGCACCUCACAGAUGGAAUCUUUGCUUCGAUGAGAAAGUGAAAGAGUUUGGCUUUUCGAGGAGUGAAGAUGAAUCUUGUGUCUGUGUCAAGGCUAGUGGGAGUAUAGCUAGAUUUUUGGUACUGUAUGUGGAUGGCAUACUUGAUGGGUUUUGGUCCUAAGAACAUCCUAUGUGCUCAUACAAACCCUAAUGCUUGGAUCUAGGUUUCUCUAUUGUACAUGCAAGUUAUCCAAGACUAUAAACCCUAAUUCUAACAUUCAAGUAAUCAUAUUAACAUGAGAAUAGGUUUAAGAUGUUACCUUGAUUGUUAUGUAGCAAUAACAAUCCCAAAUCUCCUUGUAUUGACUUUAGAAAGCUUAGAGUCACAAAUGUCACUCCUCUAAUGGUUCACAAACACCAUAAGCAAGAGGAUGAAGAGGAGAGAGGAUGGAGGCUUCCCUAAAACGUGUGAAACCCUAGAAGGUUGCUUAUCCACGUUUUUGGGCCUUAAGGGGUCUAUAUAUAGUGAGGCAAUUAGGGUUAUCUAACAAGGAAACCCUAAUUUGGUUGCUUAAGCCCUAAGCAACCCAUGGAGCCCUUUCCUUAAGGCCUUGGACGAUUUCAUAUGGGCUUCCCCCAUAGAAUUCGUCCACCUUAUAAUAAAAGGCAAUCCAUGGCCCAAAUUGCAAUUAUCUUAUAAUUACAAUUCCAGUCCCUUAAGUUUAAUUAAUCUCUUUUAGUCACAAAACUAAUUACCAAUUAAUUAUUGACUAAUAUUAAUUAAACAAUAUGAUUUCUCCUUUAAUAUAUUAUUCUCAUAAUAUAUUAAUAAAUCAUAUUUAAUCCUUUCUCUCCAUAAUUCAUCCUAUCAAGUUGCUUUGGUGAAGGCAACCCAAAAGGACCAUGCACCAUCGGGUCAAGUACAUACCAAAAUAGUUAUGGACUUAGACACUAAUCCAACAGUCUCCCACUUGGAUAAGUCUAAUAACUAUUAUGCGUAUGACUUCAGAUCCUGAUCUGCAAUCGUAGCUUUCCAAAGCCGCUGUCAACUCUGAUCCUAUCAGAUACGCGUGUCCUUAGAUAAGGGAUCAUAUAUUCCUCCAUUCUAGAUAUCAUAUGAGAUAUGAUUUCAAAUCAUUCUCUUUGUACUAUAUCUCGAUUCCCGAUUUAUGACGACUGACUAAUUGAACAAAUCAAAUUAGCCCUAGCCCGGCCGAGCAUUUACGUUUGUCAUCACUAAAUCAUCGAGGGGCCCAAAGAUAUCGCUUUUAUCCUACUUUGGAUAAAAGGAACGGAUAAACUUUGAUACAAUGCUUGCUUGCACUCACUCACCGAAUCACACACAACAAUAUGUUUUAUAACACCAAGUUACUAGUGCGUUUACAUAUUAUCAAUGUGCAACCGAUUUGCAAGAUACAACUCACACAUCUCGGUUUCAAGAAUAUAAGAUGUUAUCGUCUCACCAAUCACUCGUGAUACAAUUCAUGGAGUGAUCCAAGUGAGCGUGGGUUUAAUCCAAUGCUCAAAUCAUAUUCAUAAGCACUCAUGAACGUUGCAGCAAACAUUUGCUUAUGUCUAAUACUCUUUAGACAAUCCACACACCAAUUCACGACAGUCUUCAUUCAUAUCUACUUCCAACAUAUGAACGACUGUGGCCCGUUCGAAUAAUUCGAUUAUUCUUAAUAAACUCAAUUAUUCUGGAAGUCAAAACAUGCAAAUGUGAAACACAAGAAUAAUACUAAUCCCAUAUGGCCUCAAACCUUUGAGUAUAAAUAAAACACCUUUUAUUUAUCACCAUAUCGAUUACUCAUUAUUUGUCGUUUCGGGUAAUCAACUUCUUACUUGAAUUAUUACACUUGUCCCAUGCUCCUAGCAUGCACACAAUGUUUACCUAUGGUUCUUACUUUGUGAAAUAGAUCAAAUUGAACACAUUUCCAAUCAUUCUCAUUUCACAACUCCAAAUCCUUUUUCAUAAGUGUAAGAAUAUCAAAUUCUUGCUACUUAUAGAAUAUGCUAGAUUCUAACAUUCUAUGCAACUAUCCUUUCGUAAUGUCACUGCACCAAAGUCACAAAGACUAUUGCCAAUGAUAUUACAAAGUCCUCUAUCGGAGAUUGUUACAAGACAAUUCCAUAGAUGUGAUGUCUCUCACUCAAAGUACAUUCUUUGAACAUCCUUUUGCAUAGAAGUUUCUAAUCUAGUCAUAGAUUUCUCAAUAUUCAAUUCCCAAUAUGGACACACUUCCAUAUGUUCCAUAUGACAACUCAUUCUUAAUAGAAUCUUAUCUAUUCGUAAUGAUGUCGAUAUGGUCCAUCCAAUAUGGAAACAUUUCCAUAUUUUCCAAUACUAUACUUCCAACUACUCACAAGCGACCAAUCCUCGUCGAACUUGGGAUUGUCCUUUGAUAGUUGUUUAAUUAUUUUAGUCAAAACCGAUUCUAGUCCCUUUUCCCUCUAAAUGCGCUCGACAUUUGGAAAAUUUUAGAAUGGUCAAACAUUAAAGCAUUUGCAAUCGAUCCUAUACCCGAAGCGUAUGGGACACGACGCAUAAUGUUUUAUUUGCUAUGUUCUCAAAAUUCGAAUUGUGAAGAGGGAUGCCGUAAUCAUAAUCGAAAUUUUAAGAACACACUAUGUACCUUUGACUAAAUUUAUUAACAUUUCUCAACCUAAUCCUUUAGAUUUGAAAUGAAGCAUAAUAUUCUCUCCCUUAAUUAUAGCAAAACAACUUUUCAACUCUUACAACUUUGCAAAGUAUGACUCUUGUUUUCUAUAAUUAAUAUUGCUAACCUUGCAAUACUUUCCUUAAUAAUCAUACAAUCAUAACAUUUAUGCUCCCACUAUCAUGAUGAUUAUUAUAAAACAUAACACUUAUGCUCCCACUAGCUUCGACAUGUAUUCAUAAACAUCUUAACUUUCAGAAAACAAUACUUAUUGAAUUUCUUAAGUUCAUGUUUCUAAUACUUAGUGCUUUGAUAAUCCUUUAUCAAUGCUUCUUGAACUUAUACACCUUUGCCUUCGAUAGUUCAUAUGUGUGUCUAAACAAUUAAGACUAAUUGCCAAACCUCACAAUUCAAAUUAUGGAAAGGGAUGCCGUAACCAUAAUUGAAUUUGAGAAUGCAAUUUUACAAUCACUAUCUUCUUAAAAUCUCUCUUAGUGAAAGCAUUUCUUCACAAUCAUUUUCAUGAAGGAGGAAAUCUUAUGACACUUAGAUUUGAGCGGUGUAUGUGUUCCUAUCCAUGUGAAUUUGUUAAAACCAAAGUUUACGACAAAUUCAAACUCAUAUGGACCGAACUUUCUUAAUCUUGAUUUCUUGCCUUAUGGUAGCACAGCUGCCCACCAUGUCUUCCAAGUAGUUAAGCAGCUCACCUUUUCCUAUCAAUGUACCUUUCAUUGAUUAAGGUGCUUUGCCUUUUAUGCGUUCAAAAUGAGAACUCAUAGAACUCACAUGCAUAAUUAACUCGAUUGGAUUGGCACAGAAUCAAAAUAAUGUCAACACGAUAGGUUGUAAACCUCAACUCGUGUGCUAGUGAUGAUCGAUAAGGUUUAUUUGAUUUGUUCUUGAAACCUUUCAAGACCAUUAAGACUCCCACUGACUCCUUGACAUAUAAGAUUCUCUUGUCAAUAACCAUUUCUUGACAAACAAAUAUUCAAGAGUUAGUGUAGCUUUUAUCAAAACACUUCAUAAAUUGGUCCUAGUUGGUCUUUGUCUUAUCCAAGACAUCACAACUUUCCACAUUUGAUGAAUGUUAUAAACCUUCUUAAUACUUUUCACUCAUUGUCACAAUCUUAACUCUAAGACUUGUUUUGGAACGAAGUAUGAUUGACUUCUUGAUUUGACCAUUUCUUCAAUCUUUGAUUCCUCUUCUUGGACAUACAAUUGUACCAAGACUCACUUAGAGGAUCAAUUGAGAUAUGGUUCUUAAUCAUUAAGACCUAUCAUAAAGCAUAAAAGGUACUCUCCCUUCUUCUUAGAAUGGAGAAACUUUUAUCUUUCUGCCUACUUGAUUCUUCUUAUUCGUUCUGCUAUUGAUUUAAACCUUUUCAAUCAAUUCAGAAUUACACUUAAUCUUAUAAGUAUAAUCAUAUUUACUAAACCUUUAGUAAAUCAUGACGAAUAUCUUUGUUACUCUUAUGGUGGACUUGAUCAACACGCAACUUUGUGUACUCGAUCUCCUAGUCCUUCACUUGACACUUUGUCAAUGAAUUAGUCUAAUUUCCAAAUAUGAAAUUUCUCAUUCAUCGUGCAACCAAGUUGCAUGAUUCCAAGUUUCUGUCCAAUUGAAACUUGGGCGAUGAGAAACUCUCCCUAUUUGGUAAAUUCUCGACUUUCCAUAAAUAACAUAAUAAGAACCAAAUCCAUUAUUGCUAAUAAUAGAAACAUUUUAACAUCAAUUUUUCAUACACGCCAUUGUAAGGAUAAAUAAAUAAAAUUUAAAAUCAAAAUUUAUUUUAUUGCGGAAAAAUUUGUCCUUACAAUGCAAUUCAUUGAAAAACUUAUGCUAAUACAUCUUUCUUAGCAAUCUAAUUCUAACUCUAAGUAGUAGCUCAAGAAUCUAAUCUUCGAGAAAUGCGAUCGAAAUCCAUUCCUUCACGGUUAGAUUCUGCUCACUUCUUCCCUUAAGCUUCCUUUCUUUUCUUCGAUCCUACAAAACAUCAAUUGUAAUCUUAUCACAUUAUGUAUUAAGAAUCUAGAAUAGAAGCUUAAAAGAGUUAGUUAAUGGAUUUUACCUAUAUUAGAGCCAUACGUUUCGACUCUCCCAUCUCUUAGAUCUCUUAGGUAAAUGGGGCAGCUUCGUCUCCAAUGCCCCUUCUCUUGGCAAUAAAAGCAAAUUGACUCUUUUGGAACAUGACAUGGAACUACUUCAGACAUUGCCUUUCUCUUAUGAUCAAACGUUUCGAUUAUAGCAUGUAUUUCGUUGCCAUUGUCUAUAUCUAUAGAGGUCUUAAAGGCAGAUUCACCAAUCAACUUUGCUUUUCCAUUGCGCCAAAACAUUUCUGAUUCAGCAACAAUAAGCAUAUAGGUGCGAUCUAUAAGGGUCACGUCGCAGUUCGUCAUAUAUUACUCUCUUUCGAACUCACUAUAUGAGUUAGGAAGUGACUGAAGAACCCAAUCAACAGCCAUUUCCUCACAGACAACGGAUCCCAACAUUCUUAACCUAUCAAUGUGUGACUUCAUCCCUAGGACAUGUGCACACACCGGCUUUCCUUCUUUAUGUUUACUUGCCAAAAGGGCUUGAGUGAUCUUGAACUUUUCAAGCCUUUGAACUUGUGGGUUAGGGAGAAUAAUUGGAGGAGGUGGAGGAAGUGAAGCAUGAUUUCUUGUUCCUCGAUCGAAUCGUGGAAUAUCAUCUUCAUGUGGAAUGCUUGUUCCACGGGAUUUGGGAAGACCAUAGUUGUCGAACUUUGACAUCUACAAAACGGGAGAAAACGAAUUCAAGUUAGUUGAUUGAUUGAGUCCUUAGUAAAUCACCCAAAUGAGAUACUAAGGCUAGGACCCAACACAAUAUUCUACAACUCGGGAGAGGGAUGCCGUAACCCUAAUUGCAGAAUAUUUGAAGGUAAGUGAAUGACGGUUCACUAAUUUCCACAGAAUAUUUGAAGGUAAUUGAACAUUUCAAUGGCAUGUUUAAAUUUCGAUAUGCCCUUCUUGUUUGUGACUGGGAUGCUGAGGAUCACAAAGCGGGUGUGAAUAACCAUGCAAACUUACAUGGUGCCCUCACAUGUUACAGUCACCUAUUCGAUGUGCCGGUAAACCACACACGCUCCACCGAACUAUGACAAACAUUGAGUCACCCUUUGCUACCUUUGCUUAGAACCAUUUAGUGUGCCGGUAAACCACACACGCUCCACUAACGUCUUCGCAAGGGCACAAAGUGUAAUUUCAUGGAAUUGCAUCAAUUCACUUUUGCCUAAGUAACUAAGAUUGGGAAUUUUAUGAAAACAUUUAGUUACUUUUAUACUUCAUUAUACUUAUAAUGGAAGGUUUCGUCCUAUCCUACCCGUUCGGCUAACGACCCUCCACUAGUCAAGAGUGCGGUGGGUAAGAGUGGAUACCCAUUCAAUCGCCAUUUUAUAGGCAAUUUCCUUAAACACCCCUUAUAGACCAGCUUCGUGAAUGAGGCCUACUAACGGUAAGACUGACUUUUACUCAUACAUAUAUAUAAUGUUAGACUUUUAAUGUUAUAUAUAGUAUAGGGUGUAUUUUACACUUUUAAAAUACUAGGUGGUCAAAUUUAACAAUUAUACUUUUAAUUCAAUUAAAUUGUAAACCUAAACUUUUAUGGAUUUAUUAAACCUCUUUUAAUUAUACACCUUAAUUAAUUAAUAAAACCAUAAGGGUGUGAUUUGAACUUUUUCAAAACUAUACUAGAGUUUUAGAAUUUAACAUUCCUAAUUAAACUUUUAAUCAACUUUUAAAUUCCAAAACUUGAGGGCAAGUUUUGAAACAUUUCAACACAUUAGGGUUUAGAAUUUAAAUAUACAUCAAAAUUAAACUAUUUAAUCAAAAUUUAAAUUCCAAAACUUGAGGGCAAGUUUUGAAACCUUUUUCAAAACAUUAGGGUUUCAACUAUUUAAAUUUCAAAACAACAAAACUUUUGGGGUUCAAAUUUAAACUAUAAAACCUAAAGGGCCAAAUAUGAAACUUUUCACAACAACAAGGAUCAAAUAACAAAUAAUUCAAAUUAACAUUUAAUCACAUAAUUAUCCAUAUUUGAUGAUUUCUUGCAAAAUAAUUUAUCAAUUUACUUAAAAUAAUUAAUCAAUUAUCUUAUAAGGAAACAAUUAUCCUAUUAAUUGAUAAAUAUCUUCAAUUAGAUUAAAAAUAUAGUCAAAUAUAUCAUAUAAUCGGAUUAAUAUUAAUCUAACAUGAUAAGGUAAUUAUCCCAAUGCAAAAACAGCAAGAAAUCCCGAGAUAAGCACUAUCUGACGCACCGACUCGCCGAGUCACCCUCUGGAACUCGCCGAGUAGGGCUGACUCGCCGAGUCCAAGAGUGACUCGCCGAGUCAGGUCGAACAGUGAGGCCAAAACACGAUUUUCAGUUACAUCAAGCAUCAAUACAAUAGAAACCAAUCAUGGCUCUGAUACCACUGAUGGGUUUUGGUCAUAAGACAUCCUAUGUGCUCAUACAAACCCUAAAGCUUGGAUCUAGGUUUCUCUAUUGUACAUACUUUGAAUCCAAGACUUUGAACCCUAAUUCUAGCAUAUGGAAAUCAGAAUUCACAUGUAAAUAGGUUUAAGAACAUACCUUGAUUGUUAUAUAGCAAUAACAAUCCAAUUCCUCCUUGAAUUGACCUUGGAAAGCUGAGAGUCACAAGUGUCACUCCUCUAAUGGCUUACAAACACCAUAAGCAAGUGGAGAAGGUAUAAAGAGAGAGGAGGGAGGUUAGAAUUCGUCCUUAGGACCUCUUGGGAAGGGUUAGACGAAUUCCUAAGCCCUAGGGGGUUUAUAUAGGUGUAAAGAUUAAGGUUUUAGUCCUUAUCCUUAUCUAGUUGCUUGUCCACCAAGCAACCAUAAGAUAAGUCCUAGAAACCCUUAUCCUAGUCGAAUUCUAAGGGAUUUACACCUCAAAUUCGUUCACCAUAUAUAUAAGAUAAUCCUUACCUUAUUUUGUAACUAUCACAUAAUUACAAUUCAGCCCCUCUAGUUUAAUUAAUUACACUUGAUCACAAAAUUAAUUCUUAAUUAAUUAUUGACCAAUAUUAAUUAAACAAAUAUGAUUUCUCCUUUAAUAUAUUAUUCUUAUAACAUAUUAAUAAAUCAUAAUAACCUCUCUCUCUUUAUUUAUUUCUCCAAUCAAGUUGCUUUGGUGAAGGCAACCCAAAAGGACCAUGCACCAUCGGGUCAAGUACAUACCAAAAUAGUUAUGGACUUAGACACUAAUCCAACAGUCUCCCACUUGGAUAAGUCUAAUAACUAUUCUGCGUAUGACUUCAGAUCCUGAUCUGCAAUCGUAGCUUUCCAAAGCCGCUGUCAACUCUGAUCCUAUCAGAUACGCGUGUCCUUAGAUAAGGGAUCAUAUAUUCCUCCAUUCUAGAUAUCAUAUGAGAUAUGAUUUCAAAUCAUUCUCUUUGUACUAUAUCUCGAUUCCCGAUUUAUGACGACUGACUAAUUGAACAAAUCAAAUUAGCCCUAGCCCGGCCGAGCAUUUACGUUUGUCAUCACUAAAUCAUCGAGGGGCCCAAAGAUAUCGCUUUUAUCCUACUUUGAAUAAAAGGAACGGAUAAACUUUGAUACAAUGCUUGCUUGCACUCACUCACCGAAUCACACACAACAAUAUGUUUUAUAACACCAAGUUACUAGUGCGUUUACAUAUUAUCAAUGUGCAACCGAUUUGCAAGAUAUAACUCACACAUCUCGGUUUCAAGAAUAUAAGAUGUUAUCGUCUCACCAAUCACUCGUGAUACAAUUCAUGGAGUGAUCCAAGUGAGCGUGGGUUUAAUCCAAUGCUCAAAUCAUAUUCAUAAGCACUCAUGAACGUUGCAGCAAACAUUUGCUUAUGUCUAAUACUCUUUUAGACAAUCCACACACCAAUUCACGACAGUCUUCAUUCAUAUCUACUUCCAACAUAUGAACAACUGUGGCCCGUUCGAAUAAUUCGAUUAUUCUUAAUAAAUUCAAUUAUUCUGGAAGUCAAAACAUGCAAAUGUGAAACACAAGAAUAAUACUAAUCCCAUAUGGCCUCAAACCUUUGAGUAUAAAUAAAACUCCUUUUAUUUAUCACCAUAUCGAUUACUCAUUAUUUGUCGUUUCGGGUAAUCAACUUCUUACUUGAAUUAUCACACUUGUCUCAUGCACUUAGCAUGCACACAAUGUUUACCUAUGGUUCUUACUUUUGUAAGGUGUAAUUGACAUUUGAUGAUGAAUAAAAGUUGUGUUUAUUUAUGAGUAAAGUGUUGCUAUCUCUUGUCAAUUGUUUACUAUAUUUCUUUUGCAUGUUUUGACUUCCAGAAUAAUUAUGAUUCGUAUAUCAUAUUAUUCGAAUCUCCAUAGUUGGUCAUAUGUUGGAAGUAGGUAUAAAUCAAGACUGUCAUGAGUUGUUUGUAGAGGUUUAAGUUAUUGGACAUGGCUACAACACUCAUGAGUGUUCAUAAGAUCUGAGCAUUGGACUCAACCCACGCUCACGGGUAUCACUUCAUGGAAUUUAUCUCGAGUGAUCGUGAGACAGUAAUAUCAUAUAAGUCUUCAAACCCAGAGAUAUGACUUGUUGCCUAUGAGUUGGUUAUGCGUUGAUCAUACGAAACCGCAUUGGUAACUCGAUGUUAUAAAACACAUUUUUGUGUGUGAUUCAACAAUUAGUAGAAUAAGCAUAUGAGUCGAAGUUUAUCUAUUCCUUCUUGGAUUAGAAGCGAUAUCUGGGCCCCUCGAUGAUUUUGUUUUGACCUAUGUACCGGUACCGGUCAGAACCGAAUUGGUGUGUUCAAUUUAGUUCUAUGUGAAACAAAUCGGAAAUCGGGAAACAAACUGCUGGACUAUAAGUAAGACAUUGUUCCAUGUAUUUGUCCGACUGAUAUCUAGAAUAGAGGAUUAUAUGAUCACUUAUCUUAAAUGGCACAUCAUCUCCUUCUCAGUUCCGAGAGACCUUGAAAGAGCUACGAUUGUUGAUCGGUUCCUAAAGUCAUACUUGCAGUUAUAGAUAUUAGAUUUAUCCAAUUGGGAGAUUGUUGGAUAAGGUGUCUAAGUCCAUAACUAUUUCUGGUAUGUACUUGACCCGACCCGGCAUGGUCCAUUUGGGUUGAAUGGCAUCAUGCAUUUGGAUAGAUUAAAUUAGAGAAAUAACACUUGUGGUUUAUUAAUAUAUUAUAAGUUCUAAUAUAUUAAUAGUAUUAUUUAAUUAGUAUUGAUCAAGAAUUAAUUUGGAAUUAAUUAAGUGAUCAAAAGAUAACUAAUUAAAUAUAUGGGUUGAUUAUGUAAAUCAUCCAUAACUUGUAUAGUGGGCUAAAAGGCUCCAUGGAUUAUCAAGUUGGGUUAAACCCAUAGGAUGCUCCAUGGGAGUUACAAACCCAUGGGUCAUGGAAAUGAAGAGUCAUGACACAUUAGGGUUUACAUGGUGUAACCCUAGAUGUGACACACUAUAUAAGGAACAUGUUAUCUACCAAAAUUGGCUACACACUAAG
Molecule: long non-coding RNA, 15122 nt
Filed under: Lactuca sativa (garden lettuce)
Lineage: Eukaryota; Viridiplantae; Streptophyta; Magnoliopsida; Asterales; Asteraceae
Description: long non-coding RNA (LSAT_LNC002980)
Source: RNAcentral